UGCAUUUCAGUUCCCCGAGGAAAAUUCAGGGAAAAUUAGGGACAGCCUGCAAGCGCACUGUGAAGCCGUGUUCGGACCCCGAAACGAGUAAGGACCCCUCACCCUAUUUCCUAUCACGGUUUUAAAGUCCAAUAAAUGAUAAAACGGUAUUUCAUGAAUCAACGAAUGUGUGAAAUUGCUUAAGGUCACUAAUGGAGCCCGAGUCUAGUGUGUUUGUUAGUUAACUGUUAUUUGGCCUGUUUUACAGUUUUAAAUGCAGCAUGAGGUUCGAUGUUUUCAUUUUA
This 284-nucleotide long non-coding RNA is filed under the name Carica papaya (papaya). RNAcentral's name for it is "long non-coding RNA (CPAP_LNC004176)". Lineage: Eukaryota; Viridiplantae; Streptophyta; Magnoliopsida; Brassicales; Caricaceae. The record is from RNAcentral.